Long non-coding RNA from Passer montanus (Eurasian tree sparrow), 243 nucleotides. RefSeq lists it as uncharacterized. The record is from RefSeq and is a predicted model, not a curated record. NCBI's taxonomy places the organism in Eukaryota, Metazoa, Chordata, Aves, Passeriformes, Passeridae. The transcript is spliced from 3 exons.
GCCUGGUGCUGCUGGGCAAGCAGGCCAUCGAUGACGAUUGCAACCAGACCGGGCAGCUCCUCGCCGCCAUGUUGGACUGGCCGCAGGGCACGUUCGCCUCGCGGGUGCAGCUGGAGGACGGGGCCGUGCGCGUGGAGCGCGAGGUGGACGGCGGCCUGGAGACGCUGCGGCUGCGGCUGCCCGCCGUGCUGACGGCCGACCUGCGGCUCAACGAGCCCCGCUACGCCACGCUGCCCAACAUCA